CUUUAACGGUGAGUUUUUCUUUAAAAAUAGAAUUCGAAGAUAAAAAUAAUAUAAAGUUGUCAAGCAAUGAAACACUGAAUGAAAUAAUCGAGAACGACUCUGUGGUUGAAAUGAUUGUGUACGUUGAUGAAGUCGAAGAUGUGAAAAAUGUCGGUGAGAACGGUAAAGCAGUUUAUAAAUUCUUUCUCAAUAAUGGGAGUGGUACCCGAGUCCAAAUAAAAGUUUGGGAAGACGAAAUUGACAGAGUUUUACCUCUUAUUAAUUGCAACGAAAUUAUCCAUUUGGAUGGUGUUGCAGCAAAAUCUGUUUUAAAAAUAUUUAACAAGGGAUCAGUACCUUAUGAAUUACUCAUUCAAUCAAAUUCAUUAAUUAAUUGUUUGGGAAAAAUAAAAAUAAAGCAGCAGAAAGUUAAUGAAGCUCCAUUAAUUACACUCUAAAAUAUUUAUGCUACUACAGAUUUUAUUAUGAAAUUAUUGGUUAUGUUGGCAAUAUUGAAGCUUCAAAAGCUGUGAUGACAAAAUAUAAAAAGGAAUGCAAUUUAUUUGCUUUUGAAAUUAAUAAUCUUACAGGAAUUAAAUGUCGCGUUAUUUUAUGGGGAGAUGAAAUUCCAAAAAUUGAACCAUUAAUAAGAACUAGAAAUGUUCUUCACAUCGAUGGGGUAAUAGCCGUGGCAGCCUAUAAAAAUACUACGCCACUUUCGUACGAAUUACAAAUUGUUAGCUGCACAAAAGUUAAAGUUUUACAAACGGAUUUAAAAUUUAAAACUAUUGAAAAAUGUAUUAAAAUAAUAGACAUCAAAGAUAUUGGAAAAUAUAUAAACACAA
This is a long non-coding RNA of Leptopilina boulardi, 824 nucleotides long. RefSeq lists it as uncharacterized. The transcript has 5 exons. NCBI's taxonomy places the organism in Eukaryota, Metazoa, Arthropoda, Insecta, Hymenoptera, Figitidae. The record is from RefSeq and is a predicted model, not a curated record.